This 783-nucleotide ribosomal RNA is filed under the name uncultured bacterium. Its description in RNAcentral is "bacterial SSU rRNA". It matches the Rfam family "Bacterial small subunit ribosomal RNA", at positions 723 to 1501 of the family's 1533-position model. The record is from RNAcentral.
GGCCACCUGGUCAGAAACUGACGCUGAGGUACGAAAGCGUGGGGAGCAAACAGGUAUUAGAUACCCUGGUAGUCCACGCCGUAAACGAUGUCAACUAGUUGUUCGUCUUAUAAACAAGGUGAGUAACGCAGCUAACGCACUAAGUUGACCGCCUGGGGAGUACGGCCGCAAGGUUAAAACUCAAAUGAAUUGACGGGGGCCCGCACAAGCGGUGGAGCAUGUGGUUUAAUUCGAUGCAACGCGAAGAACCUUACCAUCCCUUGACAUCCAGUGAAUUAUCUAGAGAUAGAUGAGUGCCUUCGGGAACACUGAGACAGGUGCUGCAUGGCUGUCGUCAGCUCGUGUUGUGAGAUGUUGGGUUAAGUCCCGCAACGAGCGCAACCCUUAUCCUUAGUUGCCAGCACGUAAUGGUGGGAACUCUGGGGAGACUGCCGGUGAUAAACCGGAGGAAGGUGGGGACGACGUCAAGUCAUCAUGGCCCUUACGGGAUGGGCUACACACGUGCUACAAUGGCGCGUACAAUGGGAAGCAAGCUAGCGAUAGUAAGCGGAUCUCAAAAAGCGCGUCGUAGUCCGGAUCGGAGUCUGCAACUCGACUCCGUGAAGUCGGAAUCGCUAGUAAUCGUGGAUCAGAAUGCCACGGUGAAUACGUUCCCGGGCCUUGUACACACCGCCCGUCACACCAUGGGAGUGGGCUGCACCAGAAGUAGAUAGCUUAACCCUUCGGGAGGGCGUUUACCACGGUGUGUUUCAUGACUGGGGGUGAAGUCGUAACAAGGUAACC